GUCGGUAACUCUGACAUGCCGAUGGUCUUCCGUCGGAAAUUAACUAAAUUGUCUGUUGAUAAUUGAGAAUAGCCGACUGUCGAUUGAUCAACUGAUUGUUAGUCAGUAUAUUGUGUUUAUGAGGCCGAUCUAUAGUCAGAAUCGGGAGUCGGUUGAAUUGUCCCAACAACUUUAUAAAUUUGAAAUCGUGGGUUCAACAUACGAUUUCAACUGAGGUGACGGUGAAACCUUAAUUU
RNAcentral lists this long non-coding RNA (236 nucleotides) under Elaeis guineensis (African oil palm). Its description in RNAcentral is "long non-coding RNA (EGUI_LNC023799)". The record is from RNAcentral. Lineage: Eukaryota; Viridiplantae; Streptophyta; Magnoliopsida; Arecales; Arecaceae.